RNAcentral lists this ribosomal RNA (1815 nucleotides) under marine metagenome. RNAcentral describes it as "bacterial LSU rRNA". It matches the Rfam family "Bacterial large subunit ribosomal RNA", at positions 1 to 1977 of the family's 2925-position model. The record is from RNAcentral.
UCAAGCGUUUAAGGGCGUGUAGUGGAUGCCUUGGCACUGAAAGCCGAUGAAGGACGUGAUAUACUGCGAUAAGUUUCGGGGAGCUGUAUGUAAGUUUUGAUCCGAAAAUUUCCGAAUGGGGAAACCCACCACUUUAUGUGGUACUUUAAACUGAAUACAUAGGUUUAAAGAGACAACCUGGAGAACUGAAACAUCUAAGUAACCAGAGGAAAAGAAAUCAAUUGAGAUUCCGUUAGUAGUGGCGAGCGAACGCGGACUAGGCCAGUAGUUUUGUUAAAAAAAUUUGAAUAGUUUGGAAAUGCUAACCAUAGAGGGUGAUAGUCCCGUAUGAGUAAUGUUUAACAAAAUUCUUGAGUAAAGCGGGACACGUGAAAUCCUGCUCGAAUAUAGGGGGACCACCCUCUAAGCCUAAAUACUCUUCAGUGACCGAUAGUGAACUAGUACCGUGAGGGAAAGGUGAAAAGAACCCCUAUUAGGGGAGUGAAAUAGAACCUGAAACCGCAUGCCUACAAUCAGUCGAAGCUCUUUUUAGAGUGACGGCGUACCUUUUGUAUAAUGGGUCAGUGACUUAAUUUAUUAAGCAAGCUUAAGCCAUCUAGGUGUAGGCGCAGCGAAAGCAAGUCUUAAUAGGGCGAUUAGUUUAAUGAAUUAGACCCGAAAACGAAUGAGCUUACCAUGAGCAGGUUGAAAGCAGGGUAACACUUGCCGGAGGACCGAACCAGUUGACGUUGAAAAGUCUUUGGAUGACUUGUGGUAAGGGGUGAAAGGCCAACCAAAUUCGUAGAUAGCUGGUUUUCCGCGAAAACUAUUUAGGUAGUGCGUUGAAUAAAUAGACAUUUAGAGGUAGAGCACUAAAUGGGCUAGGGGGAAGAGAUUCUUACCAAACCUAAUAAAACUCCGAAUGCUAAAUGUUGUUCUUCAGCAGACAGACUGUGGGUGCUAAGGUCCAUGGUCGAGAGGGAAAGAGCCCAGACCACCAGAUAAGGUCCCAAAAUUGUGAUUAAGUGUGAAAGGAUGUGGAAAUUCCUUAACAGCCGGGAGGUUGGCUUAGAAGCAGCCAUCCUUUAAAGAUAGCGUAACAGCUCACCGGUCUAAUAGAGUUUCUGCGCCGAAGAUGUAACGGGGCUAAAAUCAUAUACCGAAUCUGUGGAUUUAUAAUUUUUUCGAAAAUUAUAACUGGUAGCGGAACGUUCUGUAAGCCUGUGAAGGGAUACCCGUGAGGGAUCCUGGAGGUAUCAGAAGUGCGAAUGCUGACAUAAGUAACGAUAAAAGAAGUGAAAAACUUCUUCGCCGAAAAUCCAAGGGUUUCUGCGCAAGGUUAAUCCGCGCAGAGUUAGUCGGCACCUAAGGCGAGGGCGAAAGCCGUAGUCGAUGGAAAUAAGGUUAAUAUUCCUUAACCAGAUGGAAGUGACGGAUUUUGUAAGUUGUGAGUUCUUAAUGGAUUGAACUUGCUGCGAAAAAGUCCCAGGAAAUAGCUCCAUCAUUAGACCGUACCCUAAACCGACACAGGUGGAUUAAUAGAGUAUAUUUAGGCGCUUGAGAGAAUGAUGUUGAAGGAACUCGGCAAAAUGCUUCUGUAACUUCGGAAUAAAGAAGACCUUUUAGUGGGCAACCAUUAGAGGGUGGCACAAGCCAGGGAGAAGCGACUGUUUAUCAAAAACACAGGGCUCUGCUAACACGUAAGUGGAUGUAUAGGGUCUGACGCCUGCCCGGUGCUGGAAGGUUAAUGCGAUGGGUGCAAGCUCAUUUCUGAAGCCCCAGUAAACGGCGGCCGUAACUAUAACGGUCCUAAGGUAGCGAAAUUCCUUGUCGGGU